RNAcentral lists this long non-coding RNA (386 nucleotides) under Dermacentor andersoni. Its description in RNAcentral is "uncharacterized LOC126545647". The record is from RNAcentral. Lineage: Eukaryota; Metazoa; Arthropoda; Arachnida; Ixodida; Ixodidae.
AGGCCCCGCACACUCUCAAGUUCAACAAAUGGCCACAGAGGGCGAAAAAUCAAUCGAGGCGCGUUUCAGCGUAAGCGCGCAAGUGGAGCUACUGUAAUUUGGUCGAAUACUUCAAUUUGUGCUUUCUCUGCUAGGGGCGCUGAACAUGCUGAAUUUUUUAAUUUACACAAACCAUUGACAUGAACAAUCGAGGUGUCUAAGGAUGUUUUUUUACCUCAGGCAAAUAGGCAGUUGAUUUUUUUUUUAAUUUUUUUGUUGAAGCUGCUUUUUAGUCAUAGCGUCAAGGUUUUUGUACUUGAUUAACCACCGACAGCCUAUUGGUAUCGAUGUGUUUCCUGGCCGUUGGCGUUCGAAUACUACGGCGGUAAAACAUUUUCGAAAGCAUG